CUUCAUUUUAUAGACGGAGAAAUAUAUUGGCAAAAACAGGGAACAGCUAUUGGGACAAAAUUUGCCCCGGCCUAUGCCAAUAUAUUUAUGUAUGUCUUGGAAGCAAGGAUGCUAAAAGAAUGCGAAUUUAAACCAUGGGUAUGGUGGAGAUUUUUGGAUGAUAUAUUUUUUAUUUGGUUGCAUGGCAUUGAAAAGUUGGAAAAGUUUUUGAAUUUUAUAAAUUCUUUUCACGAAACAAUCCGUUAUACUUGGGAUUAUUCUGCAAAUCAGGUGUCAUUUCUUGAUGUAACAAUCUGUAAGGAAAUAGGAGGGGGGAUUUCUACUGAUGUG
Paramuricea clavata is the source of this 330-nucleotide non-coding RNA. Lineage: Eukaryota; Metazoa; Cnidaria; Anthozoa; Malacalcyonacea; Plexauridae. The record is from the annotation of a GenBank genome assembly.